AUGAUGGGAUCCCGGGGUCCCUGCACCCCCAGGCCAUGGAAUAUCCAUGGAUGGUGGGAUCCCGGGGUCCCUGCACCCCCAAACUACGGAAUACCCAUGGAAGAGGGGAUCCUACACCCCCCAGGACAUGGAAUACCCAUGGAUGAUGGGAUCCUGGGAGUCCUGCACCCCCAGAUUAUGGGAUCCCGGGGUCCCUGCACCCCCAGGCUAUGGAACACCCAUGGAUUAUGGGAUCCUGGGGUCCCUGCACCCCCAGGACAUGGAAUACCCAUGGAUUAUGGGAUCCCGGGGAUCCUGCACCCCCAGGCCAUGGAAUAUCCAUGGAAGAGGGGAUCCUACACCCCCAAGCUAUGGAAUAUCCAUGGAUGGUGGGAUCCUGGGGUCCCUGCACCCCCAGGCUAUGGAAUACCCAUGGAUUAUGGGAUCCCGGGGUCCCUGCACCCCCAGGACAUGGAAUAUCCAUGGAUGAUGGGAUCCCUGCACCCCCAGGACACGACCCCCCCUCCCCAGCGCCACCACCCAGCUCCAGCAUCACCCGCCGGGUCCCCGGGGUGCUCCCAGACUUGUGCCGGGAUAUUUCGGGAAGCAGGACCCGCAUUCCCGGGGCUGAGAGCCGAGGAGUGCCCAGGGAAGGGUGGGAGGGUUUGGCUCCAUCACACCCACCUUUGCUGCCAUGCCGGGGCUGCUGUCACCUCCCGGCGUGUCCGUCUGUCCGUCUGUCACCUCCCGGCACCCCAAACCCUCUGCCCACCCAAUUCAUCCCCUCCCGGCGCCUCCAGCCUCUCCUCCCCCGUAUCCCGCGGCAUUCCCGCUGGGAAUGCGCUGCAGGGGCUGCCUGGCACGGCCACCCCGCCCUGCCCCGGGUGAUUUAUCGCCUCCCGGCCCGCCGGGGGUUGGCUGGGACGCUCUGAUAACCAACUGGUCUGAACUGGUCGGGCCGGCCCUGCGGAUUCCUGCGGAUUCCUGCGGAUUCCUGCGUCCCCAUGGAGCUGCGGACACGGCCUGACCUUCCAGGAACGUGGGAGGGAAGGGAAGGCUCCGGCUCUGCUCGCUGGUCCCAAAUGGUCAUAAAGGAUGGGGGAUGUGAAAGACAACAGCAUCGGGUUUGUUUUUGUUCAUUGGGAUUGUGUAAAACGCAGGAAACAGUGGGGCAGGAGGGCAGGAUGUAUGGGAUCAAUAGAUAGUGGAAUUGAGAGAUCUUUGAAAGCUGAGUUACCAUAUUUGGAGAAGUUAUUGCAGGGUUAACGUUACCUCGGAGGAAGAAGAAUAAAAAAGACCCCUAGCAACACUGAGAAGAUGCAGAGAUACUGAGGGGUAUAGGAACUGAAACACCCGGAGGUGCAGUCGAGCUCUUGUGGGGAGCAGAAGCCCCCCGGCCACCCAGCGGUGUUGCUUGCUUGCUAAAUUAAUAAAAUUCUCUUUAAAAAGUGACACAAAUUGGUCCCGUGUCAUAAUUUAUAACAGGGGAGAAGAGAGCCUCGGGGUGAACUCGCUGAUCCCAAAUAUUCAUAAAGGAUGG
Molecule: long non-coding RNA, 1519 nt
Filed under: Taeniopygia guttata (zebra finch)
Lineage: Eukaryota; Metazoa; Chordata; Aves; Passeriformes; Estrildidae
Description: lncRNA (ENSTGUG00000021244.1)
Source: RNAcentral